UACGUAGGGGGCAAGCGUUGUCCGGAAUCAUUGGGCGUAAAGAGCGUGUAGGCGGCUUGGUAAGUCCGCUGUGAAAGUCCAGGGCUCAACCCUGGAAAGCCGGUGGAAACUGUCAAGCUUGAGUCCGGAAGAGGCGAGUGGAAUUCCUGGUGUAGCGGUGAAAUGCGCAGAUAUCAGGAGGAUCACCAAUGGCGAAGGCAGCUCGCUGGGACGGUACUGACGCUGAGACGCGAAAGCGUGGGGAGCAAACAGG
This 253-nucleotide ribosomal RNA is filed under the name uncultured bacterium. Its description in RNAcentral is "partial 16S ribosomal RNA". It matches the Rfam family "Bacterial small subunit ribosomal RNA", at positions 524 to 776 of the family's 1533-position model. The record is from RNAcentral.